This 479-nucleotide ribosomal RNA is filed under the name uncultured bacterium. RNAcentral describes it as "partial 16S ribosomal RNA". It matches the Rfam family "Bacterial small subunit ribosomal RNA", at positions 28 to 507 of the family's 1533-position model. The record is from RNAcentral.
GAUGAACGCUGGCGGCGUGCUUAACACAUGCAAGUCGAACGAAGCACUUUAACCUGAUUCUUCGGAUGAAGGUUUUUGUGACUGAGUGGCGGACGGGUGAGUAACGCGUGGGUAACCUGCCUCAUACAGGGGGAUAACAGUUAGAAAUGACUGCUAAUACCGCAUAAGACCACAGAGCCGCAUGGCUCGGUGGGAAAAACUCCGGUGGUAUGAGAUGGACCCGCGUCUGAUUAGGUAGUUGGUGGGGUAACGGCCUACCAAGCCAACGAUCAGUAGCCGACCUGAGAGGGUGGCCGGCCACAUUGGGACUGAGACACGGCCCAGACUCCUACGGGAGGCAGCAGUGGGGAAUAUUGCACAAUGGGGGAAACCCUGAUGCAGCGACGCCGCGUGAGCGAAGAAGUAUUUCGGUAUGUAAAGCUCUAUAAGCAGGGAAGAAAAUGACGGUACCUGACGAAGAAGCACCGGCUAACUACGUG